CGAUUAGAGUUUGAUCCUGGCUCAGGACGAACGCUGGCGGCGUGCUUAACACAUGCAAGUCGAGCGGAAAGGCCCUUCGGGGUACUCGAGCGGCGAACGGGUGAGUAACACGUGAGCAACCUGCCCCUGGCUCUGGGAUAGCCUCCGGAAACGGGGAUUAAUACCGGAUAUGACCCUUGCAGGCAUCUGUUUGGGUGGAAAGUUUUUCGGCUGGGGCGGGGCUCGCGGCCUAUCAGCUUGUUGGCAGGGUGAUGGCCUACCAAGGCGACGACGGGUAGCCGGCCUGAGAGGGCGGGCGGCCACACUGGGACUGAGACACGGCCCAGACUCCUACGGGAGGCAGCAGUGGGGAAUAUUGCGCAAUGGGCGGAAGCCUGACGCAGCGACGCCGCGUGCGGGAUGAAGGCCUUCGGGUUGUAAACCGCUUUCACCAGGGACGAAGCGCGAGUGACGGUACCUGGGGAAGAAGCGCCGGCUAACUACGUGCCAGCAGCCGCGGUAAUACGUAGGGCGCGAGCGUUUGCCCGGAAUUAUUGGGCGUAAAGAG
RNAcentral lists this ribosomal RNA (547 nucleotides) under uncultured bacterium. Its description in RNAcentral is "bacterial SSU rRNA". It matches the Rfam family "Bacterial small subunit ribosomal RNA", at positions 1 to 567 of the family's 1533-position model. The record is from RNAcentral.